AUCGGGUGCCCUGUUUAGGUGCCAAACAGACCCCACCGUUGAUUUGAGAUAUUGAUAAGGUGAAUACCCAGUCUAUUCAAUGCUAGGCAUAAUGAGUAUAAGGACCUCAAAAAAUCUCUUUUCGUCCUAUGAACUUUAAGGUGUAUGAAGUUUCAUAUUUUAUUUUUAAGCAGAGCGAUAGAGACUUCAUCUAACUUAGGCAAAACUAA
RNAcentral lists this long non-coding RNA (209 nucleotides) under Panax ginseng (ginseng). RNAcentral describes it as "long non-coding RNA (PGIN_LNC011162)". The record is from RNAcentral. Lineage: Eukaryota; Viridiplantae; Streptophyta; Magnoliopsida; Apiales; Araliaceae.